UGGCCUUGUUCACCAACCCCCCUGCUGUAUAUAUACCUGCGAUCGUUGUACCAGGUUACAGCAGUCAGAGGAU
Molecule: transfer RNA, 73 nt
Filed under: Candidozyma auris
Lineage: Eukaryota; Fungi; Ascomycota; Pichiomycetes; Serinales; Metschnikowiaceae
Description: [Candida] auris tRNA-Phe
Source: RNAcentral